UUGAGAACAAAACAAAACUGAAAAAAAUGAAAGCAAACUAAAAUAAAGGACAUAUUUGCAAAAGGCGCAUAAUCUGAAGGGUCAAAAAGGGAAUUAAUCCCGCCCUUCCUAAACGCUGCGCAGCAUUGAACUAAAUCGUAAUACGGGCAAAAUAUUCGGGUCAAAUUAAAAAUAACGAAUUUGAUUAAAACGCGUCGCAAAAAGGAGGGGCUAGUAUUGCAAAUCUCCCAUUUAAGGUUGAUAUGCGCAGACCCCACCCCAAAAACCAAAUGGCGCCUGCUUUGUCCAUCUUUUAGGUUUUAAAGGAAAAGAAAGAAAAUUAAACAAAAGAACAUUUAUUUGUUCUUUUGGGUUUCCCUUUCUAGAGGAGAAACCAGACCCUUUUAGGGUUUCCUCAACCCUCAUACGCCGCCGCUCAGCCUCGCGCCAAGGCUCCGAUUGCGACAGAGAUGGCGCCAACUCGAUGAAUCUGGCGAGAGAGGUAAGUCCUUCCUCCAUUCUUUAUAUUUUAAAUUACGAAUAAAUAAAAAAUAAAAUAAAAAAGAAUGGAAAAAAUGAAAAAAUAAACACGAUUUACCUUUAAAAAAACCCUUUGUAAUCUCAGUAUUUUCUCUCUAUUUUCGUAUUUUUUUUACACUGAAACAGAUUUCUUCUAUGGCCUUAAAUAGCCGAAAAUAAUAACAAAAAAUAUAAAAAAAAGAAAUCCCCUCUUUUUCAUUAUUUUGCUGUUGUCGUUGGUUGUUUGUUGCUGCAGGUAUGACCAGUCAACGUGGAGGCGAACGUGCGCGACGUGCGCGGGGUUGCUGUUGGGAUGUGCGGCAGCUGCAGGCAAAUGCUGUUUGGGUUUUUGAAAUUUUAAUGUUUGAGCUAGGUUAAUUUAGGUUUUGGGCUGUUAAUUGGGCCUGUUUAUUGGUUUGGGCGCGGGCAUAUUAUAUUCGGGCCGGGCCGGGCCAGGCCCGGGCCAAAAAAGUGCUGCCCGAGGCCCUGCCCAUUUUCUAAACGGGUCUCCUUUUUUUGCCCAAACCAUAUUUCGAGCCUAUAUUUUUAUCCGAACCCUCCCAUAUUUCGGGCGGGCCGUCAGGCCGGACCGAACCGCCCAGCCCAUGAGUACCUCUACUCCAACUCCACUCAAUUUAGUGAGGCCCAUCAAUUAUAAUGAUUACUCAAACAUACCACCUUAUGUAAUUACAAACAAAU
Molecule: long non-coding RNA, 1197 nt
Filed under: Gossypium barbadense (sea-island cotton)
Lineage: Eukaryota; Viridiplantae; Streptophyta; Magnoliopsida; Malvales; Malvaceae
Description: long non-coding RNA (GBAR_LNC016398)
Source: RNAcentral